This 465-nucleotide ribosomal RNA is filed under the name Vreelandella stevensii. RNAcentral describes it as "partial 16S ribosomal RNA". It matches the Rfam family "Bacterial small subunit ribosomal RNA", at positions 338 to 795 of the family's 1533-position model. The record is from RNAcentral. Lineage: Bacteria; Pseudomonadati; Pseudomonadota; Gammaproteobacteria; Oceanospirillales; Halomonadaceae.
CCUACGGGGGGCAGCAGUGGGGAAUAUUGGACAAUGGGGGCAACCCUGAUCCAGCCAUGCCGCGUGUGUGAAGAAGGCCCUCGGGUUGUAAAUCACUUUCAGUGAGGAAGAACGCCUGGUGGUUAAUACCCAUCAGGAAAGACAUCACUCACAGAAGAAGCACCGGCUAACUCCGUGCCAGCAGCCGCGGUAAUACGGAGGGUGCGAGCGUUAAUCGGAAUUACUGGGCGUAAAGCGCGCGUAGGUGGCUUGAUAAGCCGGUUGUGAAAGCCCCGGGCUCAACCUGGGAACGGCAUCCGGAACUGUUAAGCUAGAGUGCAGGAGAGGAAGGUAGAAUUCCCGGUGUAGCGGUGAAAUGCGUAGAGAUCGGGAGGAAUACCAGUGGCGAAGGCGGCCUUCUGGACUGACACUGACACUGAGGUGCGAAAGCGUGGGUAGCAAACAGGAUUAGAUACCCCUGUAGUC